UAUAUCAGCUGAUAGCUAUGUUAUUAAUUUAAUGUAGAGGAAAGUCCGUGCUUAAGCACCAACUGAGAUGUUGGUAGUGUUUGUGUUAAACCUAAUAAGUUUAAGCUUAGACGACUAGUCACAGAGACGAGUAAAGUGAAACGCGGUAAACUCCACAAGCUAGAAACCCAAAUUUGGUAGGGGAACCAAAACGCGAGAAAUGAAUUAAGUUUUGGAACAUUUUCAAUGUUAGAUAAAUUAUCAGCACCUAUUUUAGGAACAGAACACGAUUUUUUAU
This 277-nucleotide RNase P RNA is filed under the name Mycoplasmopsis felis. RNAcentral's name for it is "RNase P RNA component class B". It matches the Rfam family "Bacterial RNase P class B". Rfam says of the family: Ribonuclease P (RNase P) is a ubiquitous endoribonuclease, found in archaea, bacteria and eukarya as well as chloroplasts and mitochondria. Its best characterised activity is the generation of mature 5'-ends of tRNAs by cleaving the 5'-leader elements of precursor-tRNAs. Cellular RNase Ps are ribonucleoproteins. Lineage: Bacteria; Bacillati; Mycoplasmatota; Mycoplasmoidales; Metamycoplasmataceae. The record is from RNAcentral.